ACAGGAAAAAAUCAAGAAAAUACUAAUACAGAUAGUGAAGAAGCAUCUGAAGCAGAUGAUAAUCAAGAUACUAAUGAAAUGGAAAUUGAAGUGGAUCCAGAAGCAAUAGGUUCCUAUGCACCUGGAAAGUGAGGGAUUUUCAUUAGUGUUUGGAAAAAGUCAUGGAAAGUCAGGAAAUUUGCCUCCUUGGCUGCCUUGUUGAAUUUUUUUGCUGACAAUUGCUUCACUAAGUGUAGCCAUCUGCAAGCAGUAAUGUGGUACAAUACAACUUGUGAAAAGAGGUGGAGAAUAUUUUCAGGAGCCAAAAUUUCUACAAAAUUGACAAAAUAAAAAAGUGAUAAAUAAUUUUAAAUAAAUAAUUAUAUAAUAUAGCUAUAUAGUCUGAACUUCUAAUUGGAAGAAAAACAUAUCCUGAGUUCACCAUGAAUUUUUAUCAAUAUGCAAAUGUAAGGAUGACUCAUAUCAACCACCAGAGGGCUUGAACCUGAUAAAAAUUGGAUAACUAUUUGAUGGUAUGGUGAGAAGACUUGUUGUUUUUAAUGUAAAAAUGUCAGAACCUCAAAUAAAAGGCUGACAUUUUAAUCAUGUUUAAUAUUGUGAGAUUUUACCUAUUUAUUUUUGUUUUUGUGGGGUUGACGAGUUGUAGACACCACUGUGAUCACCACUUGUGGGUCUGCGAGGAAUAGUUGGCCCCAAUGUGAGGAAAUGUUGACCUUUCAGUUAAAGGUGAACAUGCUCACUUUUCCCGUGAUCUUUCAGGAUGACACGAGAAAGCCCUUUUCGUAUGGGGGUAGUGGUUUGCUGGAUGCAGAGAGACUCACACAGAGACCAUAUUUUACGAAUUUACUGUGUUUAUUCAUUUAAAACAUGAUUGCAAUAGAAACACUGGUCUGUCCUUCGAAAAGAGA
Long non-coding RNA from Centruroides sculpturatus (bark scorpion), 908 nucleotides. RefSeq lists it as uncharacterized. The record is from RefSeq and is a predicted model, not a curated record. Lineage: Eukaryota; Metazoa; Arthropoda; Arachnida; Scorpiones; Buthidae. The transcript is spliced from 3 exons.